CGCAUGUUGCCGCUGAUUGCUGCGCAAUGCCGACUCGCGUGAGCGAGAAACGAUGCUUUGACUGCUGGCAAC
Molecule: small nucleolar RNA, 72 nt
Organism: Trypanosoma cruzi
Lineage: Eukaryota; Euglenozoa; Kinetoplastea; Trypanosomatida; Trypanosomatidae
Source: RefSeq, a predicted model, not a curated record